UACAGAGGUCUCAAGCGUUGUUCGGAUUCAUUGGGCGUAAAGGGUGCGUAGGUGGCGGGGUAAGUCUGGUGUGAAAUCUCGGGGCUCAACCCCGAAACUGCACUGGAUACUGCCUUGCUCGAGUACUGGAGAGGAGAUUGGAAUUUACGGUGUAGCAGUGAAAUGCGUAGAUAUCGUAAGGAAGACCAGUGGCGAAGGCGAAUCUCUGGACAGUUACUGACACUGAGGCACGGAGGCCAGGGGAGCGAACGGG
RNAcentral lists this ribosomal RNA (253 nucleotides) under uncultured bacterium. RNAcentral's name for it is "partial 16S ribosomal RNA". It matches the Rfam family "Bacterial small subunit ribosomal RNA", at positions 524 to 776 of the family's 1533-position model. The record is from RNAcentral.